Anolis carolinensis (green anole) is the source of this 3070-nucleotide long non-coding RNA. RefSeq lists it as uncharacterized. Lineage: Eukaryota; Metazoa; Chordata; Lepidosauria; Squamata; Anolidae. The record is from RefSeq and is a predicted model, not a curated record. The transcript has 2 exons.
AGAAGGGCGGAAUAUAAGUGUAUUAUUAUUAUUUUCCAUGCAAAACGGAAGUAUGGAAAGCUCUGCUUGUUCCUUUCGGGGCUUGAAGGAGAAGACGGGAGGAAAGCAAAGGCAGCCCAGGCGUCUUUCAGAGCAGUGUCUAUAUUACGUACGACUUCCCACCAAUGGUUACACCAAAAAAACCGGUCAAAGCAACACAGUGGAGACACAGUGGUGACGGCGAUGGCGGAGGCCCCUUCUCCGAGACUCUCUGCAGACAAGAAAACCCCGCAGCAGCAUCAGCAGUGUCUGGCACCUCCUCGGACGUCACAAAGGGCCGCUUUGUUUCCGGAGAGAGAGGGAAAGAGCCGGGGGAGGCGCAGGACAGGGAUCUGUGUCGGGCUUGGAAAGUGAGCAGCGAGGAAGACAAAGAGGGGAGAGAAAGACCCCCAAAACGAUCCCCCCUCCCCAAAAGCCUUUGCACAAAUACAUUGUUUUCUGGAGAGUCUUGGAAUCACUAUUUUAUCUGUGUGCAAGAGAGAAAGAAAAGAGAAGUUUAAAGGCAGAAGGCAGGGAAGAGAAACCCAAAGGAAGAGGAUCCGCCAAGCAGAGGAGAAGGCAUUCCAUGGUUAGAAAGGAGGAGGAGGCAACUCCACGCAGCAAACGGGUUAAGAGUCAAGGCUCCCUUGGGAAGAACGUCAACACAACGAGCUGGGCUCCUAUCACCACACAACCACACAACCCACACUGACCAUCGAGGAAGGAAGCCCACCAUCGAUAGGCGGGAGGAGGCGCACACCAAGACACACCAAGCAGGAAGCCCCACAAAGCCAAUGCCAUUCUAGGCAGCGUGAACAAGAGACCUUGGAGGUGUCUAUGGACAACGUCGGCUCUUCGGCUUAGAAAUGGAGAUGAGUACCAACCCCCAGAGUGUGAGUAGAUCAAUAGGUACUGCUCCGGCGGGAAGGUAAUGGCGCUCCAUGCAGUCAUGCCAAUGGCCACAUGACCUUGGGGGUGUCUAUGGACAACGCCGGCUCUUGGGCUUAGAAAUGGAAAUGAACACCAACCCCCAGAGUGUGAGUAGAUCAAUAGGUACCGCUCUGGCGGGAAGGUAAUGGCGCUCCAUGCAGUCAUGCCAAUGGCCACAUGACCUUGGGGGUGUCUAUGGACAACGCCGGCUCUUCGGCUUAGAAACGGAGAUGAGCACCAACCCCCAGAGUGUGAGUAGAUCAAUAGGUACCGCUCAAACGGGAAGGUAAUGGCGCUCCAUGCAGUCAUGCCAAUGGCCACAUGACCUUGGAGGUGUCUACGGAUAAGGCCGGCUCUUUGGCUUAGAAAUGGAGAUGAGCACCAACCCCCGAAGUGUGAGUAGAUCAAUAGGUACUGCUCCGGCAGGAAGGUAAGGGCGCUCCAAGCAGUCAUGCCAGUGGCCACAUGACCUUGGAGGUGUCUAUGAACAAUGCCGGCUCGUCGGCUUAGAAAUGGAGAUGAGCACCAACCAUCAGAGUUGGACACGACUGGACUUAACGUCAGGGGAAACCUUUACCUUUUUUUAAAUUAUUAUUAUUAUUAUUAUUAUUAUUAUUAAGUGGAUUAUGAUAUAGAAGUGAAGAGGGGGCUGGCAGACAGAGGCACAGAGCGCAACUUUAAGACCCAGAGGCCAUUGGGAAGCCAGGCGUAGAGCGACUCGAAAGGGGAAGCGAGAGGAAAGGUGUGUCUACAUGCUGGCGGGCGGAGCAGGAGGCAGUUGGGUGCGCAGUCAAUGAUCCUCACUGGCUCCCAACGCAUCCUGACCAAAACCUAGGGUGUCCCGCCCCACCCGACUCCGCCACAGCACACAAGGCAGGCGCAAGCAGCGGCCGACACACAACCCGCCCCCGCCAGCGGUAUUUACAUGGAGGUCAUGUCAUUGAGCGCGUGGUCCAACUCCUCGCUAAUGGCUUUGUACUUCAGUUUCUGGGCAUAGAGUUCGUCUAAAACAAAGGCAGUGGGAGAAACCAGGAUGGAGGGGCCUCCCAAAGCACUCACAACGAUAUGGGGUUUGGAUGGGAACCAAGGGGGGAAAGGGCCAGGGAAGGUCUGCCAUCUGACUCGGCCCCCCAGGGAAGCCUCGCCCAGCCCUGCCUCCCCGAAUCAAAGCAGCCUUGUCCUUUACAAACUGUUUCAUGGCUCUGAGAUAUUUGCAUCGGACAAUGAUGUUCAACAAAAUAUGCCCUCUAGGCAUCUUCUACAUCCUCCAUCACAAUUCUAUGGCAUUCCUGAGCCAGGCGUCCUUCAGUUGCAAUAGGGUUCUAAAUUACAGUGCUCCCUCAUUGUUUCUGUUGGAUUUUUGGUUGUGUGUAUAUGAAAUGUAAAUCAAGUGUUUCUGCUGUUUUGCAAGCACAGUAGAGUCUCACUUAUCUAAGCUAAACGGGCCAGCAGAAGCUUGGAUAAGCAAAUAUCUUGGAUAAUAAGGAGGGAUUAAGGAAAAGUCUAUGAAACAUCAAAUUAGGUUAUGAUUUUACAAAUUAAGCACCAAAACUUCAUGUUAUACAACAAACUAGCUGUGUCCGGCCACGCGUUGCUGUGGCUAGGACUUAAUUUUUCUUUUCUUUUUGUUGUAUGAACAUAGAGGCGUGGAUGAGAGGUUGUGCUGUCAAUUUUCGAGGUUGUGGGGCAUUUAGUUUAGUUGUUUUGUCCGGUGCCGUGAUUCCAUUACCCUUUUAUAUAUAUAGAUUGGACAGAAAAAGUAGUUCAAUACGCAGUAAUGUUAUGUUGUAAUUACUGUAUUUACGAAUUUAGCACCAAAAUAUCACGAUAUAUUGAAAACAUUGACUACAAAAAUGGCUUGGAUAAUCCAGAGGCUUGGAUAAUUGAGACUCUACUGUAUGUGUUUCAGCAAUGAAACAGUUAACAGCAGGCCAGUUUGACUGACAGCCUGCUGUGACCUAUCAGGCAUGAUUUCCGGCCUUGGAGGUCGGAACUUCCUUCUGACUAAGGAAUGUGUCUUCUUAUCUUUGUUGUGCCGAGCCGAAGAAUGCCGGCUUCUAGUGAUGGACUUUGCUGCAAUUGUAAAUAUCUCUGUAAAUAUUAAAUAAGUGUUUGAACUUCA